GCCCCCAUAGCUCAAUGGAUAGAGUAUCCCGCUUCGGACGGGAUGAUGGCGGUUCGAAUCCGUCUGGGGGCA
Molecule: transfer RNA, 72 nt
Filed under: Patescibacteria group bacterium
Lineage: Bacteria
Description: tRNA-Arg
Rfam family: tRNA
About the family: Transfer RNA (tRNA) molecules are approximately 80 nucleotides in length. Their secondary structure includes four short double-helical elements and three loops (D, anti-codon, and T loops).
Source: RNAcentral